This 501-nucleotide ribosomal RNA is filed under the name uncultured Glomeromycotina. Its description in RNAcentral is "partial small subunit ribosomal RNA". It matches the Rfam family "Eukaryotic small subunit ribosomal RNA", at positions 591 to 1092 of the family's 1831-position model. The record is from RNAcentral. Lineage: Eukaryota; Fungi; Glomeromycota.
CCAAUAGCGUAUAUUAAAGUUGUUGCAGUUAAAAAGCUCGUAGUUGAAUUUCGGGGUUAGUAGGUUGGUCAUGCCUCUGGUAUGUACUGGUCUCACUGAUUCCUCCUUCCUGAUGAGCCGUAAUGCCAUUAAUUUGGUGUUGCGGGGAAUUUGGACUGUUACUUUGAAAAAAUUAGAGUGUUUAAAGCAAGCUUAACGCUUGAAUACAUUAGCAUGGAAUAAUGAAAUAGGACGUUCGAUCCUAUUUUGUUGGUUUCUAGGAUUGACGUAAUGAUUAAUAGGGAUAGUUGGGGGCAUUAGUAUUCAAUUGUCAGAGGUGAAAUUCUUGGAUUUAUUGAAGACUAACUACUGCGAAAGCAUUUGCCAAGGAUGUUUUCAUUAAUCAAGAACGAAAGUUAGGGGAUCGAAGACGAUCAGAUACCGUCGUAGUCUUAACCAUAAACUAUGCCGACUAGGGAUCGGAUGAUGUUAAUUUUUUAAUGACUCAUUCGGCGCCUUACG